RNAcentral lists this ribosomal RNA (466 nucleotides) under uncultured bacterium. Its description in RNAcentral is "bacterial SSU rRNA". It matches the Rfam family "Bacterial small subunit ribosomal RNA", at positions 331 to 795 of the family's 1533-position model. The record is from RNAcentral.
CCAGACUCCUACGGGAGGCAGCAGUGAGGAAUAUUGGUCGAUGGCCGAGAGGCUGAACCAGCCAAGUCGCGUGAGGGAAGACGGCCCUACGGGUUGUAAACCUCUUUUGUCGGGGAGCAAAGCGAGUCACGUGUGACUCAUUGAGAGUACCCGAAGAACAAGCAUCGGCUAACUCCGUGCCAGCAGCCGCGGUAAUACGGAGGAUGCGAGCGUUAUCCGGAUUUAUUGGGUUUAAAGGGUGCGCAGGCGGUCUGUUAAGUCAGCGGUCAAAGCCCGGGGCUCAACCCCGGUCCGCCGUUGAAACUGGCAGUCUCGAGUUGGAGAGAAGUAUGCGGAAUGCGCGGUGUAGCGGUGAAAUGCAUAGAUAUCGCGCAGAACUCCGAUUGCGAAGGCAGCAUGCCGGCUCCACACUGACGCUGAGGCACGAAAGCGUGGGUAUCGAACAGGAGUAGAUACCCUAGUAAUC